RNAcentral lists this non-coding RNA (263 nucleotides) under Streptomyces sp. ERV7. RNAcentral's name for it is "Bacterial large subunit ribosomal RNA". It matches the Rfam family "Bacterial large subunit ribosomal RNA", at positions 2652 to 2912 of the family's 2925-position model. The record is from Rfam by way of RNAcentral. Lineage: Bacteria; Bacillati; Actinomycetota; Actinomycetes; Kitasatosporales; Streptomycetaceae.
CGUAGGAAUAUUGAGAAGGGCUGUCCCUAGUACGAGAGGACCGGGACGGACGAACCUCUGGUGUGCCAGUUGUCCUGCCAAGGGCAUGGCUGGUUGGCUACGUUCGGAAAGGAUAACCGCUGAAAGCAUCUAAGCGGGAAGCCUGCUUCGAGAUGAGUAUUCCCACCUCCUUGAGAGGGUAAGGCUCCCAGUAGACGACUGGGUUGAUAGGCCAGAUGUGGAAGCCUCGUAAGGGGUGGAGCUGACUGGUACUAAUAGGCCGA